RNAcentral lists this ribosomal RNA (406 nucleotides) under uncultured bacterium. RNAcentral's name for it is "partial 16S ribosomal RNA". It matches the Rfam family "Bacterial small subunit ribosomal RNA", at positions 30 to 526 of the family's 1533-position model. The record is from RNAcentral.
AUUGAACGCUGGCGGCAGGCUUAACACAUGCAAGUCGAGCGAGCGGCGGACGGGUGAGUAAUGUCUGGGAAACUGCCUGAUGGAGGGGGAUCACUACUGGAAACGGUAGCUAAUACCGCAUACCAUCAGAUGUGUCCAGAUGGGAUUAGCUAGCAGGGGGGGUAAUGGCUCACCUAGGCGACGAUCCCUAGCUGGUCUGAGAGGAUGACCAGCCACGCUGGAACGGAGACACGGGCUAGACGCCUACGGGAGGCAGCAGGGGGGAAUAUUGCACAAUGAGCGCAAGCCUGAUACAGCCCUGCCGCGUGUGUUAAGAAGGCCUUCGGGUUGGCAGGCACUUUCAGCGAGGAGGCAUUACUCGCAGAAGAAGCACCGGCUAACUCCGUGCCAGCAGCCGCGGUAAUUC